RNAcentral lists this long non-coding RNA (673 nucleotides) under Nicotiana benthamiana. RNAcentral's name for it is "long non-coding RNA (NBEN_LNC042463)". Lineage: Eukaryota; Viridiplantae; Streptophyta; Magnoliopsida; Solanales; Solanaceae. The record is from RNAcentral.
AAGCCAAAAAGCAUUUAUAUGGAUAAUGGAAUUGAAAAAUUAUACAAUUAAGUGAAAUGUAUGAAGUGAUGAAAGGCCAAUUUUGUUGGUGCUGUUGUUGUAUAAAUUUCAGAUGCAAAAAUACCCUCAUUGUUUCUUAUUUAAAUUUACAAAUAGUAUAUUACACUAAAUCCUAAAUUUAUCUGUCCUAAAAGCUCACACAUUCAUUCUUUCAUUUAGGAGCUAUGAAUAUCAUGUCAUGUCGUCCUCGUGGGUGCAGGCCAGUAAUCAACGAGACAUGCCUUAGUACAUGCACUAAGGCACCAUCAAAGUGAGGUGAAACGUCCAGCUUGCACUACAACUAGUUUCAGGUUUUAAGUGUGGUUCAACCGAUUUUUAACAACAUUGAGUAAUAAAUCCCAAAGCAUCAUGUUCACUUCAGUAGCUAAUGCAAAGAAACUGAACAAGUUCAUGUCGUCCUCGUGGGUGCAGGCCUAUGAGCAACAAGACAUACCUUCGUAUAUGCACUAAGGCGCCAUCAAAGUGAGGUGAAACGUCCAGCUUGCACUACAACUAGUUUCAGGUUUUAAGUGCGCUUCAACCGAUUUUUAACAACAUUGAGCAAUAAAUCCCAAAGCAUCAUGUUCAUCUCAGUAGCUAAUGCAAAGAAACUGAACAAGUCCCCCCCCCCCCC